RNAcentral lists this ribosomal RNA (493 nucleotides) under uncultured bacterium. Its description in RNAcentral is "partial 16S ribosomal RNA". It matches the Rfam family "Bacterial small subunit ribosomal RNA", at positions 28 to 507 of the family's 1533-position model. The record is from RNAcentral.
GACGAACGCUGGCGGCGUGCUUAACACAUGCAAGUCGAACGGUGAAGGGACCGGUUUUUGCUGGUUCUGGAUGAGUGGCGAACGGGUGAGUAACACGUGAGUAACCUGCCCCCUUCUUCUGGAUAACCGCAUGAAAGUGUGGCUAAUACGGGAUAUUCUGCGCCUGCUGCAUGGUGGGUGUGGGAAAGAUAUUGUUUCGGUGGGGGAUGGGCUCGCGGCCUAUCAGCUUGUUGGUGGGGUGAUGGCCCACCAAGGCGGUGACGGGUAGCCGGCCUGAGAGGGUGGACGGUCACACUGGGACUGAGACACGGCCCAGACUCCUACGGGAGGCAGCAGUGGGGAAUAUUGCACAAUGGGCGCAAGCCUGAUGCAGCGACGCCGCGUGAGGGAUGGAGGCCUUCGGGUUGUAAACCUCUUUCGCCAGUGAAGCAGGCCUGUCCCUUUUGUGGGUGGGUUGACGGUAGCUGGAGAAGAAGCGCCGGCUAACUACGUG